AAGGGGGGCAACCCCCGAGUAGAGUGGCGGACGGGUGAGUAAUACAUCGGAACGUGCCCAGUAGUGGGGGACAACCUCGAGAAAUCGAGGCUAAUACCGCAUACGACCUACGGGUGAAAGCGGGGGACCGCAAGGCCUCGCGCUAUUGGAGCGGCCGAUGUCCGAUUAGCUUGUUGGUGGGGUAACGGCCCACCAAGGCGACGAUCGGUAGCUGGUCUGAGAGGACGACCAGCCACACUGGGACUGAGACACGGCCCAGACUCCUACGGGAGGCAGCAGUGGGGAAUUUUGGACAAUGGGGGCAACCCUGAUCCAGCCAUGCCGCGUGCGGGAAGAAGGCCUUCGGG
RNAcentral lists this ribosomal RNA (347 nucleotides) under uncultured bacterium. RNAcentral's name for it is "bacterial SSU rRNA". It matches the Rfam family "Bacterial small subunit ribosomal RNA", at positions 72 to 422 of the family's 1533-position model. The record is from RNAcentral.